UGACGAAGCGACGCCGCGUGGGUGAAGAAGGCCUUCGGGUUGUAAAACCCUGUCAGGAGUUAUGAAAUGUAAGUGCGCUAAUAUCGUGCUUAUGUGACAAAGGCUCCAAAGGAAGCCACGGCUAACUCUGUGCCAGCAGCCGCGGUAAUACAGAGGUGGCGAGCGUUGUUCGGAAUUAUUGGGCGUAAAGAGCACGUAGGUGGGUUUGCAAGUCAGAUGUGAAAGCCUUCUGUUCAACGGAAGAAUUGCAUCUGAAACUGCUGAUCUUGAGUAUAGGAGGGGAGAAUGGAACUUCUGGUGGAGCGGUGAAAUGCGUAGAUAUCAGAAGGAACGCCGGCGGCGAAAGCGAUUCUCUGGCCUAUUACUGACACUCAGUGUGCGAAAGCUAGGGGAGCAAACGGGAUUAGAUACCCCGGUAGUCCUAGCCGUAAACGAUGGGCACUAAGUAGAGG
Molecule: ribosomal RNA, 452 nt
Filed under: uncultured Planctomycetota bacterium
Lineage: Bacteria; Pseudomonadati; Planctomycetota
Description: bacterial SSU rRNA
Rfam family: Bacterial small subunit ribosomal RNA
Source: RNAcentral